This 72-nucleotide transfer RNA is filed under the name Pleuronectes platessa (European plaice). It matches the Rfam family "tRNA". Rfam says of the family: Transfer RNA (tRNA) molecules are approximately 80 nucleotides in length. Their secondary structure includes four short double-helical elements and three loops (D, anti-codon, and T loops). Further hydrogen bonds mediate the characteristic L-shaped molecular structure. tRNAs have two regions of fundamental functional importance: the anti-codon, which is responsible for specific mRNA codon recognition, and the 3' end, to which the tRNAs corresponding amino acid is attached (by aminoacyl-tRNA synthetases). tRNAs cope with the degeneracy of the genetic code in two manners: having more than one tRNA (with a specific anti-codon) for a particular amino acid; and 'wobble' base-pairing, i.e. permitting non-standard base-pairing at the 3rd anti-codon position. The record is from Rfam by way of RNAcentral. Lineage: Eukaryota; Metazoa; Chordata; Actinopteri; Pleuronectiformes; Pleuronectidae.
GGGGAUGUAGCUCAGUGGUAGAGCGCAUGCUUCGCUUGUAUGAGGUCCUGGGUUCAAUUCCCAGGAUCUCCA